UACGGAGGGUGCAAGCGUUAUCCGGAUUCACUGGGUUUAAAGGGUGCGUAGGUGGGCUGGUAAGUCCGUGGUGAAAUCUCCGAGCUUAACUCGGAAACUGCCGUGGAUACUAUUAGUCUUGAAUACUGUGGAGGUAAGCGGAAUAUGUCAUGUAGCGGUGAAAUGCUUAGAUAUGACAUAGAACACCGAUAGCGAAGGCAGCUUGCUACACAGUCAUUGACACUGAGGCACGAAAGCCAGGGGAGCAAACGGG
RNAcentral lists this ribosomal RNA (253 nucleotides) under uncultured bacterium. RNAcentral describes it as "partial 16S ribosomal RNA". It matches the Rfam family "Bacterial small subunit ribosomal RNA", at positions 524 to 776 of the family's 1533-position model. The record is from RNAcentral.